GUGGGAAAUUGCACAAUGGGCGCAAGCCUGAUCCAGCCAUGCCGCGUGCAGGAAGAAUGCCCUAUGGGUUGUAAACUGCUUUUAUACGGGAAGAAACACUCCUACGUGUAGGGGCUUGACGGUACCGUAAGAAUAAGCACCGGCUAACUCCGUGCCAGCAGCCGCGGUAAUAUAAU
Molecule: ribosomal RNA, 176 nt
Filed under: uncultured Bacteroidota bacterium
Lineage: Bacteria; Pseudomonadati; Bacteroidota
Description: uncultured Bacteroidetes bacterium partial 16S ribosomal RNA
Rfam family: Bacterial small subunit ribosomal RNA
Source: RNAcentral